CAAUAGCGUAUAUUAAAGUUGUUGCAGUUAAAAAGCUCGUAGUUGGAUUUCUGGUUGAAGCGACCGGUCGGGCGUUGAUUCGUCUGCACUGGAGUCGGUUUUGGCCAUCCUCUAGGAAAGUGCGUCUGGUAUUAAGUUAUCGGGCGUAUGAUCCUGGUCUUUUACUGUGAAAAAAUUAGAGUGUUUAAAGCAGGCCUUCACCUUGAAUACAUUAGCAUGGAAUAAUAAGAUAGGACUUUGGUCUAUUUUGUUGGUUUGCAGACCGAAGUAAUGAUUAAUAGGGAUAGUUGGGGGUAUUUAUAUUCCGAUGUCAGAGGUGAAAUUCUUAGAUUUUCGGAAGAUAAACUUAUGCGAAAGCAUUUACCAAGGAUGUUUUCAUUAA
Molecule: ribosomal RNA, 382 nt
Filed under: uncultured eukaryote
Lineage: Eukaryota
Description: partial 18S ribosomal RNA
Rfam family: Eukaryotic small subunit ribosomal RNA
Source: RNAcentral